AGAGUUUGAUCCUGGCUCAGAACUAACGCUGGCGGCGGGUCUUAAACAUGCAAGUCGAACGGUAACAUGAUUGUAGCAAUACAGUUGAUGACGAGUGGCGGACGGGUGAGUAACACGUAGGAAUCUGCCCCAAAGUGGGGGACAACUCCGCGAAAGCGGGGCUAAUACCCCAUAAUACAGUAAUGUUAAAGGUUGGGUAACCAAUCGCUUUGGGAUGAGCCUGCGGUCUAUCAGCUAGUUGGCGGGGUAAAAGCCCACCAAGGCUACGACGGAUAGCCGGCCUGAGAGGGUGGUCGGUCACACUGGAACUGAGACACGGUCCAGACUCCUACGGGAGGCAGCAGUUAAGAAUCUUGCGCAAUGGGCGAAAGCCUGACGCAGCCACGCCGCGUGGAGGAUUAAGGCCUUAUGGUUGUAAACUCUAGUGAAAAGGGAAGAAUAAGUAAGGUCGAAUAGGCCUUACGAUGACGGUACCUUUCUGAAGCCCCGGCUAAUUACGUGCCAGCAGCCGCGGUAAUACGUAUGGGGCAAGCGUUGUUCGGAAUUAUUGGGCGUAAAGGGCACGCAGGCGGAUCGCUAAGUUGGAUGUAUAAUCCCCAAGCUUAACUUGGGCACUGCAUUCAAAACUGGCAAUCUAGAGUAGUGGAGGGGAUAGCGGAAUUCUCGGUGUAGCGGUGGAAUGUGUAGAUAUCGAGAGGAACACCAAUGGCGAAGGCAGCUAUCUGGCCACAAACUGACGCUCAGGUGCGAAAGCGUGGGGAUCAAACAGGAUUAGAUACCCUGGUAGUCCACGCCUUAAACGUUGUGUACUAGAUGUUGGGAGUUUCAACGCUCUCAGUGUCGCAGCUAACGCAUUAAGUACACCGCCUGGGGAGUAUGCUCGCAAGGGUGAAACUCAAAGGAAUUGACGGGGGCCCGCACAAGCGGUGGAGCAUGUGGUUUAAUUCGACGAUACACGAAGAACCUUACCCGGGUUUGACAUCACUUGGAUAGGUGCAGAGAUGCACCCUCCUUUAUGGCCAAGUGACAGGUGUUGCAUGGUCGUCGUCAGCUCGUGUUGUGAGAUGUUGGGUUAAGUCCCGCAACGAGCGCAACCCUUACCUCUUGUUUCCACCAGGUAAUGCUGAGCACUCUAGAGGGACUGCCGGCGAUAUAAGCCGGAGGAAGGUGAGGAUGACGUCAGAUCAGCAUGGCCCUUACGUCCGGGGCUACACACGUGCUACAAUGGUUGGUACAAUGGGAAGCCAAGUCGCGAGAUGGAGCAAAUCUCAAAAAAAACCAAUCUUAGUUCAGAUUGCAGUCUGCAACUCGACUGCAUGAAGGCGGAAUCGCUAGUAAUCGUGGAUCAGCUAUGCCACGGUGAAUACGUUCCCGGGCCUUGUACACACCGCCCGUCACACCACCCGAGUUUGCGGCACCCAAAUAGGCUGCGCUAACCCGCAAGGGAGGCAGGUCUUUAAGGUGAAGUAGGCGAGGGGGGUGAAGUCGUAACAAGGUA
This 1498-nucleotide ribosomal RNA is filed under the name metagenome. Its description in RNAcentral is "bacterial SSU rRNA". It matches the Rfam family "Bacterial small subunit ribosomal RNA". The record is from RNAcentral.